CCUACGGGGGGCAGCAGUGAGGAAUAUUGGUCAAUGGACGAGAGUCUGAACCAGCCAAGUAGCGUGAAGGAUGACUGCCCUAUGGGUUGUAAACUUCUUUUAUAAAGGAAUAAAACGAGGCACGUGUGCCUUUUUGCAUGUACUUUAUGAAUAAGGAUCGGCUAACUCCGUGCCAGCAGCCGCGGUAAUACGGAGGAUCCGAGCGUUAUCCGGAUUUAUUGGGUUUAAAGGGUGCGUAGGUGGGUUUUUAAGUCAGUUGUGAAAGUUUGCGGCUCAACCGUAAAAUUGCCAUUGAUACUGGCAGUCUUGAGUACAGUUGAGGUAGGCGGAAUGCGUGGUGUAGCGGUGAAAUGCUUAGAUAUCACGAAGAACCCCGAUUGCGAAGGCAGCUUACUAAACUGUGACUGACAUUGAUGCUCGAAAGUGUGGGUAUCGAACAGGAUUAGAUACCCUGGUAGUC
Molecule: ribosomal RNA, 460 nt
Filed under: uncultured bacterium
Lineage: Bacteria
Description: partial 16S ribosomal RNA
Rfam family: Bacterial small subunit ribosomal RNA
Source: RNAcentral